RNAcentral lists this ribosomal RNA (500 nucleotides) under uncultured bacterium. RNAcentral's name for it is "partial 16S ribosomal RNA". It matches the Rfam family "Bacterial small subunit ribosomal RNA", at positions 29 to 523 of the family's 1533-position model. The record is from RNAcentral.
AUUGAACGCUGGCGGCAUGCCUUACACAUGCAAGUCGAACGGCAGCACGGGUGCUUGCACCUGGUGGCGAGUGGCGAACGGGUGAGUAAUACAUCGGAACGUACCUUAUCGUGGGGGAUAACGCAGCGAAAGCUGUGCUAAUACCGCAUACGCCCUGAGGGGGAAGCGGGGGAUCGCAAGACCUCGCGCGAUUAGAGCGGGCGAUGCCUGAUCAGCGAGUUGGUGGGGUAAAAGCCCACCAAGGCGACGAUCAGUAGCUGGUCUGAGAGGACGAUCAGCCACACUGGGACUGAGACACGGCCCAGACUCCUGCGGGAGGCAGGAGUGGGGAAUGUUGGACAAUGGGGGCAACCCUGAUCCAGCAAUGCCGCGUGAGUGAAGAAGGCCUUCGGGUUGUAAAGCUCUUUUGUCAGGGAAGAAACACCGGCUCUAACACAGUCCGGGAAUGACGGUACCUGAAGAAUAAGCACCGGCUAACUACGUGCCAGCCGCCGCCGUAC